UUUGCAUAAUCAAAUAAGCGGAGGAAAAGAAACCAACAGGGAUUGCCUUAGUAGCGGCGAGUGAAGCGGCAAAAGCUCAAAUUUGAAAUCUGCCCGUUUUCAACAGGCUGAGUUGUAAUUUGUAGAUGGUAACUCUGUAACAAGUCUUUGCUCAAGUUUUCUGGAAAGAAACAUCAUGGAGGGUGAUAAUCCCGUGAGGCAUUGAUGCAGUUGCGUGUAGAGUGCUAUCAAAGAGUCGAGUUGUUUGGGAAUGCAGCUCAAAGUGGGUGGUAGACACCAUCUAAAGCUAAAUAUUGGCGAGAGACCGAUAGCGAACAAGUACUGUGAAGGAAAGAUGAAAAGCACUUUGAAAAGAGAGUGAAAAAGUACGUGAAAUUAUUGAUACAGAAGGAUAUAAAAUUGGACUUUGGGGAAUGGUUUGUGGGUCCCUCGGGGCCUUCUUUCACCACCCCCUUUACCAGCAUCAGUUUCGAUGGGAGGACAAACAACAUGGAAUGUAGCUGCUUGCAGUGUUAUAGACUUGUUGCAUACUCUCUAUCGGGACUGAGGACCGCCUUUGUAGGAUGCUGGGGUAACGAUUUUAUAUCACCCGUCUUGAAC
Molecule: ribosomal RNA, 600 nt
Filed under: Wickerhamiella sp. 11-1422
Lineage: Eukaryota; Fungi; Ascomycota; Dipodascomycetes; Dipodascales; Trichomonascaceae
Description: eukaryotic LSU rRNA
Rfam family: Eukaryotic large subunit ribosomal RNA
Source: RNAcentral